Molecule: ribosomal RNA, 570 nt
Filed under: Zygosaccharomyces bisporus
Lineage: Eukaryota; Fungi; Ascomycota; Saccharomycetes; Saccharomycetales; Saccharomycetaceae
Description: partial small subunit ribosomal RNA
Rfam family: Microsporidia small subunit ribosomal RNA (bases 116-570)
Source: RNAcentral
CGAAAGAUUGAUUCAGUUACUUAUUAAGAUGAUAUAUACUUUUAAUAAAAAAAAUAUUUUUUAUUAUAAAUAAAUAUAUAAAUUGAUUAAAAAUAAAGUCUAUAAAUAAUUAAAAUAAUGAUAUUAAUUACAUUCUUUAAUGGGAUGAUAUAAUAUUUUAUAUUAUAUUUUAAUAGUCCUAACCAAAAUUUGUGCCAGCAGCUGCGGUAAUACAAUGAGGGCUAGCGUUAAUCAUAAUGGUUUAAAGUAUCCGUAGAAUGAUAAAAUAAAAUUUUAUUAGAGUUAAUAAAUUUAAUUAAAGAAUUAUGAUAGUAAAGAUGAAAUAAUAAUGAUAAUCAUAAGACUGGUAUGUGUGAAAAUAUUAAUUAAAUAUUAACUGACAUUGAGGGAUGAAAGCUAGAGUAGCAAUAUGGAUUCGAUACCCAAGUAGUUCUAGCAGUAAACUAUGAACACCAUAAUUUAUACAUAAUAUAAAUUAUAAACGAAAGUGUAAGUGUUCCACCUGAAGAGUACUUUCGCAAGAAUGAAACUCAAGACAAUAGACGGUUACAGACUUAAGCAGUGGAGCAU